GAGUUUGAUCAUGGCUCAGGACGAACGCUGGCGGCGUGCUUAACACAUGCAAGUCGAACGUGAUUUUUGUGGAGAUUCCUUCGGGAAUGGAAGUAAAAUGAAAGUGGCGAACGGGUGAGUAACACGUGAGCAACCUACCUUACACAGGGGGAUAGCCGUUGGAAACGACGAUUAAUACCGCAUGAGACCACAGUAUCGCAUGGUAUAGGGGUCAAAGAUUUAUCGGUGUAAGAUGGGCUCGCGUCUGAUUAGCUAGUUGGAAGGGUAAAGGCCUACCAAGGCGACGAUCAGUAGCCGGUCUGAGAGGAUGAACGGCCACAUUGGAACUGAGACACGGUCCAAACUCCUACGGGAGGCAGCAGUGGGGAAUAUUGCACAAUGGGGGGAACCCUGAUGCAGCGACGCCGCGUGAGCGAAGAAGGUUUUCGAAUCGUAAAGCUCUGUCCUAUGAGAAGAUAAUGACG
This 464-nucleotide ribosomal RNA is filed under the name Parvimonas sp. canine oral taxon 102. RNAcentral's name for it is "bacterial SSU rRNA". It matches the Rfam family "Bacterial small subunit ribosomal RNA", at positions 9 to 456 of the family's 1533-position model. The record is from RNAcentral. Lineage: Bacteria; Bacillati; Bacillota; Tissierellia; Tissierellales; Peptoniphilaceae.